AUUGAACGCUGGCGGCAGGCCUAACACAUGCAAGUCGAACGAGUGGCGGACGGGUGAGUAAUGUCUGGGAAACUGCCUGAUGGAGGGGGAUAACUACUGGAAACGGUAGCUAAUACCGCAUACCAUCGGAUGUGCCCAUAGGGGAUUAGCUAGUAGGUGGGGUAAAGGCUCACCUAGGCGACGAUCCCUAGCUGGUCUGAGAGGAUGACCAGCCACACUGGAACUGAGACACGGCCCAGACUCCUACGGGAGGCAGCAGUGGGGAAUAUUGCACAAUGGGCGCAAGCCUGAUGCAGCCAUGCCGCGUGUAUGAAGAAGGCCUUCGGGUUGUAAAGUACUUUCAGCGGGGAGGCGUUACCGACAGAAGAAGCACCGGCUAACUCCGUGCCAGCAGCCGCGGUAAUUC
Molecule: ribosomal RNA, 406 nt
Filed under: uncultured bacterium
Lineage: Bacteria
Description: partial 16S ribosomal RNA
Rfam family: Bacterial small subunit ribosomal RNA
Source: RNAcentral